GUCCCCGUAGCUCAACGGAUAGAGCAGAGGUUUCCUAAACCUCCGAUGCAGGUUCGAUUCCUGCCAGGGACACCG
RNAcentral lists this transfer RNA (75 nucleotides) under Candidatus Chisholmbacteria bacterium RIFCSPHIGHO2_01_FULL_49_18. RNAcentral's name for it is "tRNA-Arg". It matches the Rfam family "tRNA". From Rfam's summary of the family: Transfer RNA (tRNA) molecules are approximately 80 nucleotides in length. Their secondary structure includes four short double-helical elements and three loops (D, anti-codon, and T loops). The record is from RNAcentral. Lineage: Bacteria; Candidatus Chisholmiibacteriota. RNAcentral also lists the same sequence under 1 other name.